CAACCCUCAAGCCCCCAGGGGCCUGGUGUUGGGGACCGGCCGCCCGCCCAGCGGCGGCCGCCCCCGAAAUGCAGUGGCGACCUCGCCGCAGCCUCCCCUGCGUAGUAGCACAACCUCGCACCGGAGCGCGGAGACGGUCACGCCGUUAAACGCCCAACUUUCAAG
Molecule: unclassified non-coding RNA, 165 nt
Filed under: uncultured Tolypocladium
Lineage: Eukaryota; Fungi; Ascomycota; Sordariomycetes; Hypocreales; Clavicipitaceae
Description: sequence contains ITS2
Source: RNAcentral